UACGGAGGAUGCAAGCGUUAUCCGGAAUGAUUGGGCAUAAAGCGUCCGCAGGUGGCUAUGUAAGUCUGCUGUUAAAGAGUGAGGCUCAACCUCAUAAGAGCAGUGGAAACUACAUGGCUAGAGUGCGUUCGGGGCAGAGGGAAUUCCUGGUGUAGCGGUGAAAUGCGUAGAGAUCAGGAAGAACACUGGUGGCGAAAGCGCUCUGCUAGGCCGCAACUGACACUCAUGGACGAAAGCUAGGGGAGCGAAUGGG
This 253-nucleotide ribosomal RNA is filed under the name uncultured bacterium. RNAcentral describes it as "partial 16S ribosomal RNA". It matches the Rfam family "Bacterial small subunit ribosomal RNA", at positions 524 to 776 of the family's 1533-position model. The record is from RNAcentral.